RNAcentral lists this ribosomal RNA (492 nucleotides) under uncultured bacterium. RNAcentral's name for it is "partial 16S ribosomal RNA". It matches the Rfam family "Bacterial small subunit ribosomal RNA", at positions 29 to 507 of the family's 1533-position model. The record is from RNAcentral.
AGUGAACGCUGGCGGUAGGCCUAACACAUGCAAGUCGAACGGCAGCACAGUAAGAGCUUGCUCUUACGGGUGGCGAGUGGCGGACGGGUGAGGAAUACAUCGGAAUCUACUUUUUCGUGGGGGAUAACGUAGGGAAAUUUACGCUAAUACCGCAUACGACCUACGGGUGAAAGCAGGGGAUCUUCGGACCUUGCGCGAUUGAAUGGGCCGAUGUCGGAUUAGCUAGUUGGCGGGGUAAAGGCCCACCAAGGCGACGAUCCGUAGCUGGUCUGAGAGGAUGAUCAGCCACACUGGAGCUGAGACACGGUCCAGACUCCUACGGGAGGCAGCAGUGGGGAAUAUUGGACAAUGGGCGCAAGCCUGAUCCAGCCAUACCGCGUGGGUGAAGAAGGCCUUCGGGUUGUAAAGCCCUUUUGUUGGGAAAGAAAAGCAGCAGGUUAAUACCCCGCUGUUCUGACGGUACCCAAAGAAUAAGCACCGGCUAACUUCGUG